AUCACUUAUCUUUUUCCUCAUCACCGCUCUCUCUUGUAUCAUCACCUUUAUCAUCAUAUUGAUCACUUCUUUCUCCACUUCAUGCUCUUUCUCUCUAAUCUAAUCUUCUUGAGGUGUAUGCUCUACUAAAUUUGGAGCAUCCAUCUUCCUGCAAAAAUAUUAAAUAAGCCGAAGACUUCUCACAGUAACAAUAAAUCUAAUUUCACAUUUACAACCAUUCGAAAGUCAUACUAAGACAUUAAUUAAAUAUAUAGCAAAGUUGCAAGAUUGAGAAUCAAAUUAGGAUAUCAAAUUAUUAUUGCUAAGACAUUCGUAUAGUUCACAAACAUAUCAUAUUUCUAGUAUUUUGAUUUAGAGCUCAUAUUAAUACAUGGCGGAAAUAUGGAUAUGCCCAAUAACUAUAGCAAGGUAUCUGAGCCACAUCUGCAUUCUUGCAAUAAUUCAAAAAACUCCAACAAAAUAAAACUCCAACAUGUAUGUAACAUCUGUGUUCUUGCAAUAACUCAAAAAACUCCAUCAAAAUAAAAAAUGCAGCAACAAGAUUGGAUGAUCACAUCAUCAAGCAAUUGAGACUUGUUAAACCAAAUCUAACCCCGCUAGCAGACGGCAGAUGGAGGAGAGGGCGACGCCGCGGUGGGGUAUUGGCGACUGGUGGCGGGCGACGAGCGACAUUAGCAGACGACAGAUGGAGGAGAGGCGACGCCGCGGCGGGGUGCUGGCGACUGGGGACGAGCGAUGUUAGCUGCUGGCGAGUGGCGACGGGCAGCGCCGCGGCGGAGAAGAGAUGCAGCCUGCAGGCGCGGCGUGCGCGUGGAGAAGAAAGAGAGAAGGUUUUUUUUUUCAGAUUUGAAAGUGGAGACUGGAGGAGCGGCGCGGCGCCUUAGUUAGAAGUUUAGAAUUAGGGUUAGAUUUUUUUAUUUUUUUUAAGAAGGGUUAAAAAGUUACUAUUAUAAAAAUUAUAAUUAAAAUAUAAUAUUAU
RNAcentral lists this long non-coding RNA (979 nucleotides) under Salvia miltiorrhiza (redroot sage). RNAcentral's name for it is "long non-coding RNA (SMIL_LNC006932)". The record is from RNAcentral. Lineage: Eukaryota; Viridiplantae; Streptophyta; Magnoliopsida; Lamiales; Lamiaceae.